CUAAGCCGAGGCCGAAAGGCGUAGGUGAUGGACAACAGGUUGAUAUUCCUGUACCGCCAAUAAGCGUUUGAGAGAUGGAGUGACACAGUAGGAUAAGCUAACCGUACUGUUGGUUAUGUACGGCUAAGCAUUGAGGCAGUCUAAAUAGGCAAAUCCGUUUAGACAAUGCUAGGAUGUGAUGGGGAAGCCCUUCGGGGCGAAGUAGCUGAUUUCACACUGUCAAGAAAAGCUUCUAUCGAGUUUAAAGGCGCCCGUACCGUAAACCGACACAGGUGGGUGAGGAGAGUAUCCUAAGGCCAGCGAGAGAACUAUUGUUAAGGAACUCGGCAAAAUGACCCCGUAACUUAGGGAGAAGGGGUGCCUGUCUAUGACAGGCCGCAGAGAAUAGGCCCAAGCGACUGUUUACCAAAAACACAGGUUUCUGCUAAGUCGCAAGACGAUGUAUAGGAGCUGACGCCUGCCCGGUGCUGGAAGGUUAAGGGGAUCUGUUAGAGCAAUCGAAGCAGUGAACUUAAGCCCCAGUAAACGGCGGCCGUAACUAUAACGGUCCUAAGGUAGCGAAAUUCCUUGUCGGGUAAGUUCCGACCCGCACGAAAGGCGUAACGAUUUGGGCACUGUCUCAACAAUAGACUCGGUGAAAUUGUAAUCCCGGUGAAGAUGCCGGGUACCUGCGACAGGACGGAAAGACCCCAUGGAGCUUUACUGUAGCUUGACGUUGGGUCUUGGUACUACAUGUACAGGAUAGGUGGGAGACUAUGAAGCAUGGACGCCAGUCUGUGUGGAGUCAUCCUUGGGAUACCACCCUUGUAGUACUGGGAUCCUAACCAUAGGCCUUGAAUCAGGUCUUGGAACACCGUCAGGUGGGCAGUUUGACUGGGGCGGUCGCCUCCUAAAAAGUAACGGAGGCGCUCAAAGGUUUCCUCAGCACGGUCGGAAAUCGUGCGAAGAGUGUAAAGGCAAAAGGAAGCUUGAUUGCAAGACAUACAGGUCGAGCAAGGACGAAAGUCGGACUUAGUGAUCCGGUGGUUCCGCAUGGAAGGGCCAUCGCUCAACGGAUAAAAGCUACCCUGGGGAUAACAGGCUUAUCUCCCCCAAGAGUCCACAUCGACGGGGAGGUUUGGCACCUCGAUGUCGGCUCAUCACAUCCUGGGGCUGUAGUAGGUCCCAAGGGUUGGGCUGUUCGCCCAUUAAAGUGGUACGCGAGCUGGGUUCAGAACGUCGUGAGACAGUUCGGUCCCUAUCCGUCGCAGGCGUAGGAAAUUUGAGAAGACCUGUCCUUAGUACGAGAGGACCGGGAUGGACGUACCUCUGGUGUACCAGUUGUUCUGCCAAGGGCAUGGCUGGGUAGCUAUGUACGGAAUGGAUAAGCGCUGAAAGCAUCUAAGCGCGAAGCCAACUUCAAGAUAAGAUUUCCCACCGUAAGGGUAAGACCCCAGGAAGACUACCUGGUUGAUAGGUCGAAGGUGUAAGUGCAGUAAUGUAUUUAGCUUAUCGAUACUAAUAGGUCGAGGACUUGACC
RNAcentral lists this ribosomal RNA (1519 nucleotides) under human gut metagenome. Its description in RNAcentral is "bacterial LSU rRNA". It matches the Rfam family "Bacterial large subunit ribosomal RNA", at positions 1391 to 2925 of the family's 2925-position model. The record is from RNAcentral.